CGAACGAGAGAUGAGGAGCUUGCUCUUCAAAUCGAGUGGCGAACGGGUGAGUAACGCGUGAGGAACCUGCCUCAAAGAGGGGGACAACAGUUGGAAACGACUGCUAAUACCGCAUAAGCCCACGGCUCGGCAUCGAGCAGAGGGAAAAGGAGUGAUCCGCUUUGAGAUGGCCUCGCGUCCGAUUAGCUAGUUGGUGAGGUAAUGGCCCACCAAGGCGACGAUCGGUAGCCGGACUGAGAGGUUGAACGGCCACAUUGGGACUGAGACACGGCCCAGACUCCUACGGGAGGCAGCAGUGGGGAAUAUUGCACAAUGGGGGAAACCCUGAUGCAGCGACGCCGCGUGGAGGAAGAAGGUCUUCGGAUUGUAAACUCCUGUUGUUGAGGAAGAUAAUGACGGUACUCAACAAGGAAGUGACGGCUAACUACGUGCCAGCAGCCGCGGUAAAACGUAGGUCACAAGCGUUGUCCGGAAUUACUGGGUGUAAAGGGAGCGCAGGCUGGAGAACAAGUUGGAAGUGAAAUCCAUGGGCUCAACCCAUGAACUGCUUUCAAAACUGUUUUUCUUGAGUAGUGCAGAGGUAGGCGGAAUUCCCGGUGUAGCGGUGGAAUGCGUAGAUAUCGGGAGGAACACCAGUGGCGAAGGCGGCCUACUGGGCACCAACUGACGCUGAGGCUCGAAAGUGUGGGUAGCAAACAGGAUUAGAUACCCUGGUAGUCCACACCGUAAACGAUGAUUACUAGGUGUCGGAGGAUUGACCCCUUCAGUAAGGGAGUUAACACAAUA
RNAcentral lists this ribosomal RNA (786 nucleotides) under uncultured bacterium. Its description in RNAcentral is "bacterial SSU rRNA". It matches the Rfam family "Bacterial small subunit ribosomal RNA", at positions 63 to 862 of the family's 1533-position model. The record is from RNAcentral.